RNAcentral lists this non-coding RNA (51 nucleotides) under unclassified sequences. RNAcentral's name for it is "Xanthine-I sequence". It matches the Rfam family "Xanthine riboswitch aptamer (NMT1 RNA)". From Rfam's summary of the family: Later it was reported as a ncRNA that recognised Xanthine. The record is from Rfam by way of RNAcentral.
AAUAGGAGUAGAAGCAGUCAACGCCGUCCGGCGCGGGUCAUUGCUCCUUCA